This 742-nucleotide ribosomal RNA is filed under the name uncultured bacterium. Its description in RNAcentral is "bacterial SSU rRNA". It matches the Rfam family "Bacterial small subunit ribosomal RNA", at positions 114 to 872 of the family's 1533-position model. The record is from RNAcentral.
CGCGUGAGUAACCUGCCUUUCAGAGGGGGAUAACAUCCUGAAAAGGAUGCUAAUACCGCAUGAUAUCCAAGCAUCGCAUGGUGAGUGGAUCAAAGGAGCAAUCCGCUGAAAGAUGGACUCGCGUCCGAUUAGCCAGUUGGUGAGGUAACGGCUCACCAAAGCGACGAUCGGUAGCCGGACUGAGAGGUUGAACGGCCACAUUGGGACUGAGACACGGCCCAGACUCCUACGGGAGGCAGCAGUGGGGGAUAUUGCACAAUGGGGGAAACCCUGAUGCAGCAACGCCGCGUGAAUGAUGAAGGUCUUCGGAUUGUAAAAUUCUGUUCUUGGUGAAGAUAAUGACGGUAGCCAAGGAGAAAGCUCCGGCUAACUACGUGCCAGCAGCCGCGGUAAUACGUAGGGAGCGAGCGUUGUCCGGAUUUACUGGGUGUAAAGGGUGCGCAGGCGGCUCUGCAAGUCAGGCGUGAAAGCUAGGGGCUCAACCCCUAAACUGCGCUUGAAACUGUGGAGCUUGAGUGAAGUAGAGGCAGGCGGAAUUCCCGGUGUAGCGGUGAAAUGCGUAGAGAUCGGGAGGAACACCAGUGGCGAAGGCGGCCUGCUGGGCUUUAACUGACGCUCAGGCACGAAAGCAUGGGUAGCAAACAGGAUUAGAUACCCUGGUAGUCCAUGCCGUAAACGAUGAUUACUAGGUGUGGGGGGUCUGACCCCCUCCGUGCCGGAGUUAACACAAUAAGUAAUCCAC